AGCAGCCGCGGUAAUUCCAGCUCCAAUAGCGUAUAUUAAAGUUGUUGCAGUUAAAAAGCUCGUAGUUGAAAUUCGAAAUUUGUCCUAUGGUCGGGCUUUACGGUCCGUACAGUAGUGGCGAAUUUCUACCUUCUGAAGAACCUUCAUGUCAUUAAUUUGAUGUGUUGGGAAAUCAGGACUGUUACUUUGAAAAAAUUAGAGUGUUUAAAGCAGGCUAUAGUCUGAAUACAUUAGCAUGGAAUAAUGAAAUAGGACGGAUUGGUUCUAUUUUGUUGGUUUCUAGGAUCACCGUAAUGAUUAAUAGGGAUAGUUGGGGGCAUUAGUAUUCAAUUGUCAGAGGUGAAAUUCUUGGAUUUAUUGAAGACUAACUUCUGCGAAAGCAUUUGCCAAGGAUGUUUUC
This 400-nucleotide ribosomal RNA is filed under the name uncultured Glomeromycotina. Its description in RNAcentral is "SSU rRNA". It matches the Rfam family "Eukaryotic small subunit ribosomal RNA", at positions 569 to 971 of the family's 1831-position model. Lineage: Eukaryota; Fungi; Glomeromycota. The record is from RNAcentral.